This 505-nucleotide ribosomal RNA is filed under the name uncultured bacterium. RNAcentral's name for it is "partial 16S ribosomal RNA". It matches the Rfam family "Bacterial small subunit ribosomal RNA", at positions 28 to 507 of the family's 1533-position model. The record is from RNAcentral.
GACGAACGCUGGCGGCGUGCCUAAUACAUGCAAGUAGAACGCACAGUUUAUACCGUAGCUUGCUACACCAUAGACUGUGAAUUGCGAACGGGUGAGUAACGCGUAGGUAACCUGCCUGGUAGCGGGGGAUAACUAUUGGAAACGAUAGCUAAUACCGCAUAAUAUUGAUUAUUGCAUGAUAAUUGAUUGAAAGAUGCUAUUGCAUCACUACCAGAUGGACCUGCGUUGUAUUAGCUAGUAGGUGAGGUAACGGCUCACCUAGGCGACGAUACAUAGCCGACCUGAGAGGGUGAUCGGCCACACUGGGACUGAGACACGGCCCAGACUCCUACGGGAGGCAGCAGUAGGGAAUCUUCGGCAAUGGACGAAAGUCUGACCGAGCAACGCCGCGUGAGUGAAGAAGGUUUUCGGAUCGUAAAGCUCUGUUGUAAGAGAAGAACGGGUGUGAGAGUGGGAAGUCCACACUGUGACGGUAUCUUACCAGAAAGGGACGGCUAACUACGUG